GUGAAUCAUCGAAUUUUUGAACGCAAAUUGCACUCUCUGGUAAUCCGGUGAGCAUUUCUGUUUGAGGGUCAGAAAAAACAACAAUCGGUCUGGUUGCUGCUUUUCGUGGUGACGUAUCGGAUUUGGGUCGUCUUGCCUUCGGUUAAGUGCCUUAAAAUUUCGCUUGAUUUUUUCGAACGUAUUUAAAUUAUUUUACGUACGCUUGUGAUAUAGACUAUCAGGAUUGG
RNAcentral lists this unclassified non-coding RNA (227 nucleotides) under Glomeraceae sp. RNAcentral's name for it is "partial internal transcribed spacer 2". The stretch from base 1 to 71 matches the Rfam family "5.8S ribosomal RNA", at positions 84 to 154 of the family's 154-position model. The record is from RNAcentral. Lineage: Eukaryota; Fungi; Glomeromycota; Glomeromycetes; Glomerales; Glomeraceae.